This 24-nucleotide non-coding RNA is filed under the name Arabidopsis thaliana (thale cress). The record is from RNAcentral. Lineage: Eukaryota; Viridiplantae; Streptophyta; Magnoliopsida; Brassicales; Brassicaceae.
UGUAAAUAAGUGUCAAGUACAUGA